AAAGAUUUGAUUUCGGACAGGGUCGUAAGAUCGAGUUAGUCGAUCCGAGAUACAGGUGUGCGGGUCCUGCGCAAUGAACAACUGUGAACCAUGUCAGGCGGGGAACCGAGCAGCAUUAAGCAGUUUGCUUCGUGUGACGCAGUUUCGCCUGCACGCCUGUAUGUCGGAUCGAAUUUUU
This 178-nucleotide unclassified non-coding RNA is filed under the name Ruminococcus sp. YE71. Its description in RNAcentral is "Bacterial large signal recognition particle RNA". The stretch from base 58 to 157 matches the Rfam family "Bacterial small signal recognition particle RNA". From Rfam's summary of the family: The signal recognition particle (SRP) is a universally conserved ribonucleoprotein involved in the co-translational targeting of proteins to membranes. The record is from RNAcentral. Lineage: Bacteria; Bacillati; Bacillota; Clostridia; Eubacteriales; Oscillospiraceae. RNAcentral also lists the same sequence under 1 other name.